CCUACGGGUGGCAGCAGUGAGGAAUAUUGGUCAAUGGUCGGGAGACUGAACCAGCCAAGCCGCGUGAGGGAGGAAGGUACAGAGUAUCGUAAACCUCUUUUGUCAGGGAACAAAGGCGGGGACGUGUCCCCGGAUGAGUGUACCUGAAGAAAACGCAUCGGCUAACUCCGUGCCAGCAGCCGCGGUAAUACGGAGGAUGCGAGCUUUAUCCGGAUUAAUUGGGUUUAAGGGGUCCGUGGGCGGUCUGUUAAGUCGGCGGUAAAAGCCCGGGGCACAACCCCGGACCGCCGUGGAAACUGGCAGUCUCGAGUUGGAGAGAGGUAUGCGGAAUGCGCGGUGUAGCGGUGAAAUGCAUAGAUAUCGCGCAGAACUCCGAUUGCGAAGGCAGCAUGCCGGCUCCACACUGACGCUGAGGCACGAAAGCGUGGGUAUCGAACAGGAUUAGAUACCCGUGUAGUC
RNAcentral lists this ribosomal RNA (459 nucleotides) under uncultured bacterium. RNAcentral describes it as "partial 16S ribosomal RNA". It matches the Rfam family "Bacterial small subunit ribosomal RNA", at positions 338 to 795 of the family's 1533-position model. The record is from RNAcentral.